GCUGGGCGCAGUGGUACGUGCCUAUAGUCCCAACUACUCGGGAGGCUGAGGCUGGAGAAUCCCUUGAGUUCAGGAGUUCUGGGCUGUAGUGCGCUAUACCGAUCAGGUGUCUGCACUAAGUUCGGCAUCAAUAUGGUGACCUCCCGGGAGCAGGGGACCACCAGGUUGCCUAAGGAGGGGUGAACCAGCCCAGGUCGGAAACAGAGCAGGUUAAAACUCCCGUGCUGAUCAGUAGUGGGACUGUGCCUGUGAAUAGCCACUGCACUCUAGCCUGGGCAACAUAGUGAGACUCUGCCUCU
This 299-nucleotide signal recognition particle RNA is filed under the name Aotus nancymaae (Ma's night monkey). Its description in RNAcentral is "Metazoan signal recognition particle RNA (ENSANAG00000002189.1)". It matches the Rfam family "Metazoan signal recognition particle RNA". Rfam says of the family: The signal recognition particle (SRP) is a universally conserved ribonucleoprotein. Lineage: Eukaryota; Metazoa; Chordata; Mammalia; Primates; Aotidae. The record is from RNAcentral.